RNAcentral lists this ribosomal RNA (303 nucleotides) under uncultured bacterium. Its description in RNAcentral is "partial 16S ribosomal RNA". It matches the Rfam family "Bacterial small subunit ribosomal RNA", at positions 507 to 807 of the family's 1533-position model. The record is from RNAcentral.
AGCAGCCGCCGCGGGAACACGAAGGGGGCUAGCGUUGUUCGGAAUUACUGGGCGUAAAGCGCACGUAGGCGGAUAUUUAAGUCAGGGGUGAAAUCCCGCAGCUCAACUGCGGAACUGCCUUUGAUACUGGGUAUCUUGAGUAUGGAAGAGGUUAGUGGAAUUGCGAGUGUAGAGGUGAAAUUCGUAGAUAUUCGCAGGAACACCAGUGGCGAAGGCGGCUAACUGGUCCAUAACUGACGCUGAGGUGCGAAAGCGUGGGGAGCAAACAGGAUUAGAGACCCCUGUAGUCCCUGUCUCUUAUAC